This 253-nucleotide ribosomal RNA is filed under the name uncultured bacterium. RNAcentral describes it as "partial 16S ribosomal RNA". It matches the Rfam family "Bacterial small subunit ribosomal RNA", at positions 524 to 776 of the family's 1533-position model. The record is from RNAcentral.
UACGAAGGGGGCUAGCGUUGUUCGGAAUUACUGGGCGUAAAGCGCGUGUAGGCGGGCCGUUAAGUCGGGGGUGAAAGCCCAGAGCUCAACUCUGGAACUGCCUUCGAUACUGGCGGCCUGGAGCAUGAUAGAGGCGAGUGGAAGUGCGGGUGUAGAGGUGAAAUUCGUAGAUAUUCGCAGGAACACCAGUGGCGAAGGCGACUCGCUGGAUCAUUGCUGACGCUGAGACGCGACAGCGUGGGGAGCAAACAGG